This 319-nucleotide ribosomal RNA is filed under the name uncultured soil bacterium. RNAcentral's name for it is "bacterial SSU rRNA". It matches the Rfam family "Bacterial small subunit ribosomal RNA", at positions 26 to 345 of the family's 1533-position model. The record is from RNAcentral.
AGAUUGAACGCUGGCGGCAGGCCUAACACAUGCAAGUCGGGCGGCAGCACGGGUACUUGUACCUGGUGGCGAGCGGCGGACGGGUGAGUAAUGCCUAGGAAUCUGCCUGGUAGUGGGGGAUAACGCUCGGAAACGGACGCUAAUACCGCAUACGUCCUACGGGAGAAAGCAGGGGACCUUCGGGCCUUGCGCUAUCAGAUGAGCCUAGGUCGAUUAGCUUAGUUGGUGAGGUAAUGGCUCACCAAGGCGACGAUCCGUAACUGGUCUGAGAGGAUGAUCAGUCACACUGGAACUGAGACACGGUCCAGACUCGUACGGG